Molecule: ribosomal RNA, 169 nt
Filed under: uncultured bacterium
Lineage: Bacteria
Description: partial 16S ribosomal RNA
Rfam family: Bacterial small subunit ribosomal RNA
Source: RNAcentral
CCUACGGGAGGCAGCAGUGGGGAAUUUUGCGCAAUGGGGGAAACCCUGACGCAGCGACGCCGCGUGGAGGACGAAGGCCUUCGGGUUGUAAACUCCUUUUGUAGGGGAAGAUAGUGACGGUACCCUACGAAUAAGCCACGGCUAACUCUGUGCCAGCAGCCGCGGUAAU